This 60-nucleotide transfer RNA is filed under the name Corymbia eximia (yellow bloodwood). RNAcentral's name for it is "partial tRNA-Phe". The record is from RNAcentral. Lineage: Eukaryota; Viridiplantae; Streptophyta; Magnoliopsida; Myrtales; Myrtaceae.
GUCGGGAUAGCUCAGCUGGUAAAGCAAAGGACUGAAAAUUCCCGUGUUCCCAGUUCAAAU